Molecule: ribosomal RNA, 253 nt
Filed under: uncultured bacterium
Lineage: Bacteria
Description: partial 16S ribosomal RNA
Rfam family: Bacterial small subunit ribosomal RNA
Source: RNAcentral
UACGUAGGUGGCAAGCGUUGUCCGGAUUUAUUGGGUUUAAAGGGUGCGUAGGCGGUUCCAUAAGUCAGUGGUGAAAUACGGCCGCUUAACUGUCGAGGUGCCAUUGAUACUGCGGAACUUGAGUACUGAUGAGGUAGGCGGAAUGGACGGUGUAGCGGUGAAAUGCUUAGAGAUCGUCGAGAGCACCGAUAGCGAAGGCAGCUUACUAAGGAGUAACUGACGCUGAGGCACGAAAGUGUGGGGAGCAAACAGG